AUUGAACGCUGGCGGAAUGCUUUACACAUGCAAGUCGAACGGUAGAGGGGGCAACCCCUCGAGAGUGGCGAACGGGUGAGUAAUAUAUCGGAACGUGCCCAGUCGUGGGGGAUAACGUAGCGAAAGUUACGCUAAUACCGCAUACGAUCUAAGGAUGAAAGCGGGGGAUCGCAAGACCUCGCGCGAUUGGAGCGGCCGAUAUCAGAUUAGGUAGUUGGGGGGGUAAAGGCUCACCAAGCCAACGAUCUGUAGCUGGUCUGAGAGGACGACCAGGCACACUGGAACUGAGACACGGUCCAGACUCCUACGGGAGGCAGCAGUGGGUAAUUUUGGACAAUGGACGCAAGUCUGAUCCAGCCAUUCCGCGUGCAGGAUGAAGGCCCUCGGGUUGUAAACUGCUUUUGUACGGAACGAAAAGGUCUCUCUUAAUACGGGGGGCUCAUGACGGUACCGUAAGAAUAAGCACCGGCUAACUACGUGCCAGCAGCCGCAGUAA
This 496-nucleotide ribosomal RNA is filed under the name uncultured bacterium. RNAcentral describes it as "partial 16S ribosomal RNA". It matches the Rfam family "Bacterial small subunit ribosomal RNA", at positions 30 to 523 of the family's 1533-position model. The record is from RNAcentral.